This 400-nucleotide ribosomal RNA is filed under the name uncultured bacterium. RNAcentral's name for it is "bacterial SSU rRNA". It matches the Rfam family "Bacterial small subunit ribosomal RNA", at positions 355 to 772 of the family's 1533-position model. The record is from RNAcentral.
UGGGGAAUAUUGCACAAUGGGGGAAACCCUGAUGCAGCGAUGCCGCGUGGAGGAAGAAGGUUUUCGGAUUGUAAACUCCUUUUAUCAGGGACGAUAAUGACGGUACCUGAAGAAAAAGCUCCGGCUAACUACGUGCCAGCAGCCGCGGUAAUACGUAGGGAGCGAGCGUCGUCCGGAAUUACUGGGAGUAAAGGGAGCGUAGGCGGGACGGCAAGUCAGAUGUGAAAACUGAGGGCUCAACCUUCAGACUGCAUUUGAAACUGCUGUUCUUGAGUGAAGUAGAGGUAAGCGGAAUUCCUAGUGUAGCGGUGAAAUGCGUAGAUAUUAGGAGGAACAUCGGUGGCGAAGGCGGCUUACUGGGCUUUUACUGACGCUGAGGCUCGAAAGCGUGGGGAGCAAA